GAUGGUGCCUCAGUGGUAGAGUGCUUGCCUUGCAUGCAUGAGGCCUGGGUUCGAUUCCUCUGCACCAUCU
RNAcentral lists this transfer RNA (70 nucleotides) under Dipodomys ordii (Ord's kangaroo rat). It matches the Rfam family "tRNA". Rfam says of the family: Transfer RNA (tRNA) molecules are approximately 80 nucleotides in length. Their secondary structure includes four short double-helical elements and three loops (D, anti-codon, and T loops). Further hydrogen bonds mediate the characteristic L-shaped molecular structure. tRNAs have two regions of fundamental functional importance: the anti-codon, which is responsible for specific mRNA codon recognition, and the 3' end, to which the tRNAs corresponding amino acid is attached (by aminoacyl-tRNA synthetases). tRNAs cope with the degeneracy of the genetic code in two manners: having more than one tRNA (with a specific anti-codon) for a particular amino acid; and 'wobble' base-pairing, i.e. permitting non-standard base-pairing at the 3rd anti-codon position. Lineage: Eukaryota; Metazoa; Chordata; Mammalia; Rodentia; Heteromyidae. The record is from Rfam by way of RNAcentral.